Molecule: ribosomal RNA, 460 nt
Filed under: uncultured bacterium
Lineage: Bacteria
Description: partial 16S ribosomal RNA
Rfam family: Bacterial small subunit ribosomal RNA
Source: RNAcentral
CCUACGGGUGGCAGCAGUGAGGAAUAUUGGUCAAUGGACGCAAGUCUGAACCAGCCAUGUCGCGUGCAGGAAGACUGCUCUAUGAGUUGUAAACUUCUUUUGUAAAAGAGUAAACUCAGAUACGUGUGUCUGUCUGAAAGUACUUUACGAAUAAGGAUCGGCUAACUCCGUGCCAGCAGCCGCGGUAAUACGGAGGAUUCAAGCGUUAUCCGGAUUUAUUGGGUUUAAAGGGUGCGUAGAUGGUCUGUUAAGUUAGUGGUGAAAGCUCGAGGCUCAACUUCGAAAUUGCAAUUGAUACUGUUCGGCUAGAGAGUAGUUGCGGUAGGCGGAAUGUAUGGUGUAGCGGUGAAAUGCUUAGAGAUCAUACAGAACACCGAUUGCGAAGGCAGCUUACCAAGCUACUUCUGACGUUGAGGCACGAAAGUGUGGGGAGCAAACAGGAUUAGAUACCCUUGUAGUC